GGCGGAGAAGGGAAAGCGACGCACGGCUCAGCAGUUCCUCGAGGGGACACUGCUGAGCCGCCUCGGCCCCCAUCCGCAGACCGCCCUCCGCAGCCAGUUCAGCCGCUGGCCCAGUAGGCUGAUGGAGGCACGGCGGUGGCCUCACCGGGACACUGUACUGGCUGGCCUGUGACGACGGGAAGGACUAAUUCUCAGGAUUGAAAGGGACCUUCCAGGUCAUCUGUUCAAACCUCUCACCCUGUCAUGGAAGAAACAGGGCUGGGUUUUAUUGUUUGUUUUUUUCUGAGUACAUACUAUGUACAAGGCCCCAAACAAAUAUAGACACAGCAUUCUCCCCACCUGCAGUGAAAACUAGUGGCAGAGGCAAAGAAAGGAAGAGUUGCAGUACAGUGUCAAGAUAGAGACUCCUUCUUGGGACUUCCCUCAUGGUCCGGUGGUUAAGAAAGACUCCACACUACUGAUGCAGGGGGCCUGGGUUCGAUGCCUGGUCGGGGAACUACAUCCCACAUGCCGCAACUUAAGAGUUCAGAUGCCACAACUGAAAGAUCCCACAUGCCGCAAUGAAGAUCCCACAUGCUGCAACAAAGACCUGGCACAGCCAAAUAAAUAAAUAUUUUUUA
Molecule: long non-coding RNA, 620 nt
Organism: Lagenorhynchus albirostris (white-beaked dolphin)
Lineage: Eukaryota; Metazoa; Chordata; Mammalia; Artiodactyla; Delphinidae
Exons: 3
Source: RefSeq, a predicted model, not a curated record